Molecule: ribosomal RNA, 292 nt
Filed under: uncultured bacterium
Lineage: Bacteria
Description: partial 16S ribosomal RNA
Rfam family: Bacterial small subunit ribosomal RNA
Source: RNAcentral
GUGCCAGCCGCCGCGGUAAUACGAAGGGUGCAAACGUUGCUCGGAAUCAUUGGGCGUAAAGCGCACGUAGGCGGCUUUGCAAGUCGGAUGUGAAAUCCCGUGGCUCAACCAUGGACGUGCAUUCGAAACUGCAAAGCUUGAGUAUGGAAGAGGGUCGCGGAAUUCCCGGUGUAGAGGUGAAAUUCGUAGAUAUCGGGAGGAACACCAGUGGCGAAGGCGGCGACCUGGGCCAAUACUGACGCUGAGGUGCGAAAGCGUGGGGAGCAAACAGGAUUAGAAACCCCCGUAGUCC